This is a non-coding RNA of Gasterosteus aculeatus aculeatus (three-spined stickleback), 2039 nucleotides long. The record is from RefSeq and is a predicted model, not a curated record. NCBI's taxonomy places the organism in Eukaryota, Metazoa, Chordata, Actinopteri, Perciformes, Gasterosteidae.
UUGUGCGUGUGUGAACUAUUAUGCCGGUGUAGCCAUUAGGAGAACAACUGAGGAAAACACGGGAAAACACACAUCUCCUCUGUCACGACACAACUUCAUCAACUGUGUAUGUGCGUGUGGUCCUGCAAUCAAUGGGUUUCAAUAAUUCAGGUCUUCUGAACACAGCUUUUGUGUGUGUUUCUGUGUUUGUGUGUGUGUGUGUUGACGGCUUCCCCUAAAUGCCAGUGACUCAUGUUGAUAAUAACGGACUCGGCUUUCAAAGCCCACCUAUAAAAACUCCCGUAAUUAUUAUCCAGGUGCCGUGAACUACAGCACCCUCCCACAGACACAUGCACACUCACUCACAGACCCACCUGUAAAAAAAAAAAAGAAAAGAAAUCAUUACCAGUUUAACCUACUUGAUACAAUCCUGAAUAGUUUGAGAGAAACAAAGAAGUAGAACGUUAUCAGUAUGCAUAGAUUGAGGAGCGGAACAGGAUAAAAAAAAACUAAUAUUAACCGCACCAAUCCUUUGUUUCGUUUGUCGCUAUUGGCAACCUUUACUCAUUACGCCGCAUUUAUAUAUAUAUAUAUAUAUUUUUUUAUUAAAAUCCUUAAUUGAGAGAAUCGAGUGUUGGCACGUGUGAGAGAAAGAGAUAUCGAGAGUCAGAGACAAAGAAUUUUGGAGCGGUUUAAUGAAGCCGGAGUGCUCAGCGAGCGGCCGGGGAAAGAGCGUCGGCAUGAAAAGGACGAGAGGAUGCAAAAGAGAAAAGACGGGAGAGAGAGAAAAAGGAGGACCGCGCUGCUCGUUUCCCGUCCUCUCUGUUUUCUUUGACACAAACACCUGCUGACUGCUCCUCUGUCGGCUCACGCAACAGACAGCGAGAAGGAGGGAGGAUGACAAAGAGAAACAAGACCAUGAAGAAGAAGAAGAAGAGGAGGCGGGGAGGUGUGUAUGGGGGAGAGAGGAGGAGGAGAUAGGUAGCUCGAUGGGAAGGCGCAGCGCGCCAAGUGACAGCAGGGAGCAAACGAUGAGAGGGUGAUCAGAGAGGGAGGGAGAGGAGAGACACAGCGAUGGAACCACUAAGGUGCUGUUGUUAUAGCAACCUGCUGCUCUGGUGCUUUGUGUGCUGCAUCCUCAGUCUUCCUCCCUCUCACCGAUUCCCUCUCUUUUAAGGUCGAGCAUCCUAUCGAAAGCCGGAGCCUCAACGUUUAAAGAACACGUCGAGACAGUCGCAUUAGAGGAGGACUCCAUAUGGAGGCAGACCUGCCACUUGACAUGAGGAUGCUGGGCCACGGCAGAGCCAUUUUGAGUAUGGGAUGACACUCUUACAGCUAACAAAACAUAGUGUGUUCCUCCUGAUGUUGAUCACAAACGGUUUUCGGAAACCUAAUCAAAAGCCACACGUCAAUCAACUCCUCUUUGAAAAUGAAGCAAGACAUUUACUCCAUGCCAGACAGGCUCUCUUCACCCUUUCUGCCUCGCUGUCACAUUAUCUCCUCGUCCCGUUCCCCACACUGAGCGCAGGGGACAGUGCCGUCACUAAUAGGCGGGAUACGUUCGUGGCAUUCACGAAAAAAAAAAACACACAGUGGCUGCAAGGUGAUGAACACUGUAAAAGACAAAGCAGAGUCCAGAUGAAUCCUGAUCUCAGCAUCACAAAAGGAGCAUCCACGGAAAAAAAAGCCACGGAAGGAGCAAUCCGAUAACUAAACUGGACCUCAGACACCGGCGUCCACUGCUUAUUGUCAUAGUCUGCAGUUCAAAUAAAAAGCAAACAUAUGGGAAAUCUGUCAAAGAAAAUUAAUUAUCAGCUACAUUUGUAAACAAAUCACAACAUCGGUUGUGUAAGAUGAAUAAUGUAGUGAAUACAAUCAGGUAGCACAGAUCCACAAAUAUGGGUCGUAAUUGUCCAAAUUUCAUUUUGUUUCCCUGGUGCAGGCAAGCAUGUGCUUUGCCUGAAAAUAUGUGUGUGUAUGUGUUGUGUGCUCGUUCCUGGUCUGACCCACUAGACUGUGAAAUGAGUCAAUUAAAUCAAACAGGUCUUUAAUAAGAAGUA